UUUUUCCCUCUGACCUUGUUUCUCUUUCCCCCGAUUUCUUCUUCUUCUUUUUUCCCCGAUUUCUUCAGCUGCUGCUCUGUCCUACUCGCUCCAUCUUCAUCCCUCCUCCAUCUGCAUCGUCGUCCCUGUCAACGAAGCGCCGAACGAGGCAAACAUUGUUGUCCCUGCAUCCGAGCAUCUCAUUAAUGUUCUGGGCACGACAAAGUCGUAACGUUUGGGCAAAUUUGGGGAAGCAAGAACUUCCGGUGUCUGGGCAGAUCUGUAAACUUUCCCUUUUGGUUACUGAGGCAUACAAAGAUGCACACCAGAAAAGUGUCUUGGCUAUUGAAGGAAAGAAUGAGCGAUCUUGGCCAGAGUUUAGGAAUGCCUCAAGGCCUCAAUGAUGUGCUGAAGUAAUUAUUCCCCUCCCCCCCCCUGUACUUGUCUAGUCAAUUUUGUAUACAAACCAGACAUAAGUGCUAAAUUUGUAAGGGCGAUAAGUUAAGCAUUGUUUUAUUUACUCUUUGAAUGGAAAGAGAGGGUUUUGAACUGAUAUAUCUAUGGUCUCAAUACCAAUAAUGAAUGUUGCAUAUUUGUUUCA
Molecule: long non-coding RNA, 580 nt
Organism: Humulus lupulus (European hop)
Lineage: Eukaryota; Viridiplantae; Streptophyta; Magnoliopsida; Rosales; Cannabaceae
Exons: 3
Source: RefSeq, a predicted model, not a curated record